This 254-nucleotide ribosomal RNA is filed under the name uncultured bacterium. Its description in RNAcentral is "partial 16S ribosomal RNA". It matches the Rfam family "Bacterial small subunit ribosomal RNA", at positions 526 to 779 of the family's 1533-position model. The record is from RNAcentral.
CGUAUGGUGCAAGCGUUAUCCGGAUUUACUGGGUGUAAAGGGAGCGCAGGCGGAAGGCUAAGUCUGAUGUGAAAGCCCGGGGCUCAACUCCGGUACUGCAUUGGAAACUGGUCAUCUAGAGUGUCGGAGGGGUAAGUGGAAUUCCUAGUGUAGCGGUGAAAUGCGUAGAUAUUAGGAGGAACACCAGUGGCGAAGGCGGCUUACUGGACGAUAACUGACGCUGAGGCUCGAAAGCGUGGGGAGCAAACAGGAUU